AGCUUUUCGGAUCCGUGCAGUGAUUUCGUCAGACACUAACCCAUUAGCGCCGACCAGACUUCCAAGAUAAGUGAAGUU
Non-coding RNA from Schistosoma curassoni, 78 nucleotides. The record is from Rfam. Lineage: Eukaryota; Metazoa; Platyhelminthes; Trematoda; Strigeidida; Schistosomatidae.